This is a long non-coding RNA of Carya illinoinensis, 2584 nucleotides long. RefSeq lists it as uncharacterized. The record is from RefSeq and is a predicted model, not a curated record. Lineage: Eukaryota; Viridiplantae; Streptophyta; Magnoliopsida; Fagales; Juglandaceae. The transcript is spliced from 4 exons.
UAAGUUCGUUUGUUGUUUUUACUUUCUAAUAUCUUAUGCUAAUUUUUACUAUCGCAUUAAUGCAAGUUUGUCGUAAAUUCAACUUAGGGUUUUGGUUUUUUUCUUGUCUCUCUCUGUGAUUGCAAAAUGCUUGUUAUGUAACCCUAGAUCUGUUCAACAUUAAUCUUCACUGUCAUUGUCUUCGGUUUAGUUAAAUUUUAUACAUUUUUUCUUUGGUUGUAUUCUGUUAGUGUGCAAUUAUAAGGCCUAGGGACUUUGCCUAUCUGACUAAGGCUCAAUCCGGACAUUCAGUCCGGCCGCUGAGAUAGCAUCGGUGGAUCAAGAAUCACCAACGUAAUAAUUUCUGGUUGACAAUGUUCCCAGAAAAAGAUAUUUUCGGGAAACAUACGCUUUUGUGUCAUUUAGAUAUAGUUUUACACUAGUGUGGAUUGAUCAUUUGUUCAAGUUGGGGGACUAUGAUCCUGAGCUGCUUUCAAUGAAACUUGUCAAUAAUGUUUUACCUUUUUUUUUUUUUAACCUAAGCAAGCAAACUUCAUUAAAAUAAAAGAUGAUACAAGUUAGAGAGGGUGGGGUUCCCUAACAAAACAUCCCAAAACAACAACCACAAUGCAAAAGAUGUGUGAAAAAAAAAAAAAAAAAAAGGUUUUGAGACCAAUUUUGUGGUCUCUACCCAAGCCUUAUAAAGAUGAUACCGUCUUAAAACACGUUUUGAAGGUAAACCACCGUUAGAGGUGGUGCAAGUGGAAGCACUGUAGUUGAAAGUCUUGACGUAUUUGUUGGUGAGGUUCUUAAUUUUUUCACAAGAUUACCUGUUAUGGAAAGCAAUAACUCGGAUAGACUGGCAUUGGAAGGGUAGAUAUGCAGUGACGGAAUAGCCAACUUGCGCCUCUGGAGUGGCACGUGAGGACCAUGCGCUAGUGGAAUGGUCAUGUCGAUUUGAAGGAUUGGAGGGUGGGGAGUUUGCUAUUAUGGCGCGUGUAGCCGAUGGAGCUGUCAGAGCGUGGCGGCCGGUGAAUGCCAUGAGCGGAAACAAGCAGUGCGUGAGGGUCACGUGCAGACAUUUUGGACACGGUUCCACGUUGUCCCAAUAGAUCGGCCGGAGAGGAACAUUGUAGUGGGGCGUGUGUCAACUGUUUAUGGUCAGAGAACUGCAGAUCUGAGAAAAUCCGAAUUGGUGGAAAAAUACUACCAUAGAAGCAUACACACAAAAAGGUAGUGGAAGGAAGAAAAAAAUGAAAAGGAAAUGGAGAGAAAAGCGAAGUUGAGACUCACACCUUCCUCUCCUGCAACAUCACUCGAAAGGAUCGGUUUAAUUUCUAGAGAGAAAGCAGAGCUUCUUUGUCUAGAGGAGAAGAAGAACGGUCUCGUCAAUAAUGUUUUACUUACCUUAAAAUCUCACCCUGGUACUUGGGGAGCUUGCACGUGUUGAUGGGGGCUCACCCCACCCAUGAGAUUUGCCUCACUAGUGGAGGGUAUAUAUAAAGACUAACUUUUUGAGGAAAAUACUUAGAGACCUGCCAGUAUGUAUUUGUAACACUAUUUGAUCCAUUUGGUGGGCAAAGUUUGUUGAAGAUUUUAUGAAUGCUGGUGAUGGUAGGAUUCAUGUUACCCUAUUACUGGGUACAGCAUUGUGAUGGUCUUCACUUAGAAGGGCAAGUUUCUCGUUUGCAUUAGCCCUAUUCCCUAAUUUCAAUUGGUUGGUUUGUUCAAUUACAUCUAAGCACCUUUCUCUCUGUUAGGCCCAUAAAAAUCAACUCCUUGACCCUUUAUUUUUUGAGAAAUUUCACUCCUUGACUUGAGCUUGUCAUCACUUCAUUCCUUGAAUCGAGCAUCUAAAGAAUAAAUAAACGACAACAUGAAACCUAUCACGUGUAUGUGUUCAAUACAGAAACAUGCCUAAAUAUCUUUGGCCAAACAGUAGUGAUUGGAAAAAUAGUGGUGCAACUGUUGCAAGAGAGUCAGUUUGAUGAUUAGAACAUUUACAUACCGGGAGAUAUGUCAGUCAAAGUUGUCUUAAAAAAACUGUCUAGCAUCUCUUACAAACAAUGUAAUUAGUCAUGAACUUCACCUCCACCAGCUGAAAUGAGUUCUUUCAAGAAUUGCCGAUGUACAUGAAUUUCCCUGAUUCAACCGUAGAGUGACAAAGUUGUUCACAGAGAGUGAAAUAGCUGCCAUGGGACUUUUGUUUCCAUCUAUGGUGAGAUUUGCUGAGUAUCUUCAAUAGGAGAUGACCCGAAACAGAGUACUGCUGAUAUGACAGCUUUUUUGAUGAGAUGGGUAACAGGAUAGAUGAGUUAGAGCAUAGCAUCGAUGAGCUCAAAGCAGCAAUUGGAGUGGAGGGCUCGCCUUCUUCUUCAAUCCCUUUCAAGCCGAAGCUAGAAUCCACGGGAUGAUACAGCAUAGUACGAUUUCUUUGUUUUUGAUUUUCUGAUUUGAAAAAGGGAUUUGAUAUAACUAAUUUGAGAAUAUGUAAACGUUCUGUGGAUUUGUAAUUCCUGCUGCUUUCUACUUUCACAUGCUGUGGAACUGAAAGAAGUCGAAGAUCUUCCCAAAUUUUUCAAUGCUGAUAUAUCUGGCCUUUUAA